UAGGGAAUAUUAGUAAUGGGCGAAAGCCUGAACUAGCAACGCCGCGUGUGCGAAGAAGGCCUUCGGGUUGUAAAGCACUUUUUGAGAGGAUGAGGAAGGACGGUACUCUCAGAAUAAGUCUCGGCUAACUACGUGCCAGCAGCCGCGGUGACACGUAGGAGGCGAACGUUAUCCGGAUUUACUGGGCGUAAAGCGCGUGUAGGUGGUUUGGUAAGUAGGGCGUGAAAGCUCCUGGCUCAACUGGGGAGGCCGUUCUAAACUGCCGAACUAGAGGAUGGUAGAUGGAGGUGGAAUUCCGGGUGUAGCGGUGGAAUGCGCAGAUAUCCGGAGGAACACCAGUGGCGAAAGCGGCCUCCUGGACCAUUCCUGACACUCAGACGCGAAAGCUAGGGUAGCAAACGG
RNAcentral lists this ribosomal RNA (402 nucleotides) under uncultured bacterium. Its description in RNAcentral is "bacterial SSU rRNA". It matches the Rfam family "Bacterial small subunit ribosomal RNA", at positions 355 to 775 of the family's 1533-position model. The record is from RNAcentral.